Molecule: small nucleolar RNA, 138 nt
Filed under: Ornithorhynchus anatinus (platypus)
Lineage: Eukaryota; Metazoa; Chordata; Mammalia; Monotremata; Ornithorhynchidae
Source: RNAcentral
AUCCUUUCAGGGUCAUACUUGGAGAGUUUACAGUACUCUACCAGUCUCGACUAUGGGAGGAAGAGUCAAGCGGAGGCAUACCCAUUCCACUCCUAGCUUGGGCAGUGGCUAGAGAGUGGAAGGCAAUUUGCUACAAGU